Molecule: long non-coding RNA, 277 nt
Filed under: Elaeis guineensis (African oil palm)
Lineage: Eukaryota; Viridiplantae; Streptophyta; Magnoliopsida; Arecales; Arecaceae
Description: long non-coding RNA (EGUI_LNC001823)
Source: RNAcentral
GUCCCUCGUAUGCUUCAUUCAUCCUUCCUCAAAUCCCCCCAAUUUUGAGAAAAUACAAAUUGGUUGGCCGGAUGGAUGGGCAAUCCAUCGUUUCCAUACAUCCUAAGAUUUUUUUUUGAACUAAGCAGUGGAUAGGACAAUCCAUCCUUCCGACACAAUCCCAAGCCAUACAACCUUCUAAUUCUAUGUAUCCUCCCUCUCAUGACCCUAAUAGCACUAGGUCAGUGACGGAAGACAUGACAUGAGGGAGCAGUGAGGAAAUAAGGAGGGAAGACAC